GAGACACGGACCACGACGUACCUACGGGAGGCAGCAGUGAGGAAUAUUGGUCAAUGGGCGCAAGCCUGAACCAGCCAUCGCCGCGUGCAGGAUGACGGCGCUAUGCGUUGUAAACUGCUUUUGUACAGGAAGAAACCCAUUUACGUGUAAGUGGUUGACGGUACUGUCAGAAUAAGCAUCGGCUAACUCCGUGCCAGCAGCCGCGGUAAUACGGAGGAUGCAAGCGUUAUCCGGAUUCAUUGGGUUUAAAGGGUGCGUAGGCGGAAUACUAAGUCAGUAGUGAAAUCCUGCAGCUUAACUGUAGAACUGUUAUUGAUACUGGUAUUCUUGAAUGCAGUUGAGGUAGGCGGAAUGUGUAAUGUAGCGGUGAAAUGCUUAGAUAUUACACAGAACACCGAUUGCGAAGGCAGCUUACUAAACUGUGAUUGACGCUGAGGCACGAAAGCGUGGG
This 451-nucleotide ribosomal RNA is filed under the name uncultured bacterium. RNAcentral describes it as "bacterial SSU rRNA". It matches the Rfam family "Bacterial small subunit ribosomal RNA", at positions 321 to 765 of the family's 1533-position model. The record is from RNAcentral.